RNAcentral lists this ribosomal RNA (463 nucleotides) under uncultured bacterium. RNAcentral's name for it is "partial 16S ribosomal RNA". It matches the Rfam family "Bacterial small subunit ribosomal RNA", at positions 28 to 507 of the family's 1533-position model. The record is from RNAcentral.
GAUGAACGCUGGCAGAAUGCUUAACACAUGCAAGUCUUUCGCGAAGCUGUGCUUGCACAGCCUAGCCAAGGCGGACGGGUGAGUAACGCGUAAGGAACUUGCCCUGCAGUCAGGUAUAACAGACGGACACGACUGAUAAGACCUGGUAAAGUCAGGCGGACUCAUGUCCAGCCUGAUGAAAAGAGAUGCUGCAGGAGAGCCUUGCGUCCUAUUAGCUUGUUGGUGGGGUAACGGCCCACCAAGGCGAUGAGAGGUAGCCGGCCGGAGAUGAUGGACGGCCACAAGGGGACUGAGAUACGGCCGUGACGCCUAUGGGAGGCAGCAGUGGGGAAUAUUGGAGAAUGGGGGCAACCCUGAUCCAGCAAUUCUGUGUGCACGAUGAAGGUUUUCGGAUUGUAAAGUGCUUUCAGAAGGGAAGAAAAAAAUGACGGUACCUGCAGAAGAAGCGACGGCUAACUACGUG